Non-coding RNA from Podarcis lilfordi (Lilford's wall lizard), 72 nucleotides. The record is from the annotation of a GenBank genome assembly. NCBI's taxonomy places the organism in Eukaryota, Metazoa, Chordata, Lepidosauria, Squamata, Lacertidae.
CCUGGGAUAGCUCAGUGGGUAGAGAAUGAGGCUCUUAAUCUCAGGGUCGUGGGUUCGAAUUCCACGUCAGGG